RNAcentral lists this long non-coding RNA (266 nucleotides) under Homo sapiens (human). RNAcentral describes it as "non-protein coding lnc-TTLL4-3:1". Lineage: Eukaryota; Metazoa; Chordata; Mammalia; Primates; Hominidae. The record is from RNAcentral.
AAAAAAAAAGAAUUUUUCAUCUCAUCUCACUGCAUUUAGGGAAAGGGUGACAGAGCAGAGAACAAAAAUAGUCAAAUAUUUGCAUUGUAAAAGUUGAUUCAGACAAGUGUUGAAAUAUUUAGAGAAAAAUAUUUGAUUAUUGGGAGUCAGUUUUCCCUGCUUUGAAGAGUAAAAUGAUUGGGACUUCUAGUUUCUGAUUUCUGGAUGUGACCCUACUAGCUGUAUGACUUGGGCAAAUUAUUUGGGGUGUGCAAUUUACUUUUAUU